GCGCACGUGGUGAAACUGGUAGACACGCCAUCUUGAGGGGGUGGUGCCUUACGGGUGUGGGGGUUCGAAUCCCCCCGCGCGCA
RNAcentral lists this transfer RNA (83 nucleotides) under Adhaeribacter sp. RNAcentral's name for it is "tRNA-Leu". It matches the Rfam family "tRNA". From Rfam's summary of the family: Transfer RNA (tRNA) molecules are approximately 80 nucleotides in length. RNAcentral also lists the same sequence under 1 other name. Lineage: Bacteria; Pseudomonadati; Bacteroidota; Cytophagia; Cytophagales; Hymenobacteraceae. The record is from RNAcentral.